RNAcentral lists this ribosomal RNA (465 nucleotides) under uncultured bacterium. RNAcentral describes it as "partial 16S ribosomal RNA". It matches the Rfam family "Bacterial small subunit ribosomal RNA", at positions 338 to 795 of the family's 1533-position model. The record is from RNAcentral.
CCUACGGGUGGCAGCAGUAGGGAAUCUUCCACAAUGGACGAAAGUCUGAUGGAGCAACGCCGCGUGAGUGAAGAAGGCUCUCGGCUCGUAAAGCUCUGUUGGUAGUGACGAAAGAUAGAGGUAGUAACUGGCCUUUAUUUGACGGUAAUUACUUAGAAAGUCACGGCUAACUACGUGCCAGCCGCCGCGGUAAUACGUAGGUGGCAAGCGUUGGCCGGAUUUAUUGGGAGUAAAGCGAGUGGAGGCGGGUCAAUAAGUCUGAUGUGAAAUCCUUCGGCUCAACCGGAGAAUUGCAUCAGAAACGGUUGAACUUGAGUGCAGAAGAGGAGGGUGGAACUCCAUGUGUAGCGGUGGAAUGCGUAGAUAUAAGGAAGAACACCAGUGGCGAAGGCGGCUCUCUGGUCUGCAACUGACGCUGAGGCGCGAAAGCAUGGGUAGCGAACAGGAUUAGAUACCCUGGUAGUC